Molecule: long non-coding RNA, 1545 nt
Filed under: Malus domestica (apple)
Lineage: Eukaryota; Viridiplantae; Streptophyta; Magnoliopsida; Rosales; Rosaceae
Description: long non-coding RNA (MDOM_LNC013952)
Source: RNAcentral
ACAAACACAAAUAAAAUUUAAAAAAUAUGGGCACAAAAAGAAACUAAUAUAUGGGUACAAAUUAAAAAUGAAAAAAAAAUUGGAACAAAUUAAAAAUAGGUACAAACUAAAAAUAAAAAUAUAUGAUAAAAAAUUUAGCCAUAAAUAUAAAUAUAAAUAUACUAAUUGUAACACUUUUAACACCAAAGGAAUAUAUUUAAAAAUAAAAAUAUUUUAUUAUUCAAAUAAUUAAUGAUAUUAUUAAUACCCAAGGACCUUGAUCAAAAAUUGAAAAUGAAUAGGAUUUUAAUUAAUGGAGUAUAAAAAAGAAGGAUGUGAACCUAAUUUCUCCUUUUAAGAAUUUAUGUGUGUUAUUCUUCAAACCUUGUGCCUUUAUUGUAAUAACUAAUAAGAUGGAGAUAAAACCUACUUUUCAAGUAAUUCAAAGUGUAAUAAGAAAGAUCUUCUAGAACACAAUUACACUAUGUUAAAUAUAAUUACGUUCACACUAUUCACACCCCUUUUUUAUAAAAACAAAAAAUUCGUGUUCGCAUUAUUCACACCUUCCACCACACAUCUCGUUUGGCUUAAGGAAACUUUAUUUUAACUUAUAACUUCUUUUUACACCCAACUUACUCUCUACACCCAUAUUAGUUCUAUUAAAGAAAAAAUCUCUCUUUAAACCCAAAUUUACUACCUAAACAACCCCAUCAAACCCAAUUCAAUAUGUAAAUUCAUUCUUAAAGAAUCAAUCUCUCUUUAAGCCUAUUGUUUUAUUUGUCAUGGCAACCAAUUGUUAUAGAUGGAUUGAUCAGUAGUUUCAAUUUGUUUUACAACUUUUUCAACGUUGUCGGUUUAUAGUGCAAGGCUGCUAGGAAAUGAUCUUUGCCAAGCUCUUAAUAGAGUAGUCCAGGUAGCUAAUCUGAAUGUGAUUCGUGAAACUGAGUGAUGCAUUUCUAAUUCAAGAUUAAACAGUUUAGUAGCAGCUAGGCAAGCAGUUGAACUGGUGCUUUUGGAAUUUGAAUCAUGUAAAAUUAUGUGGACACCUUAGUGAAAGUAAAUUUCAGUAGAAUUUCUCAUCACAUUUUCUUGAAGGAUCAUGGCAGUAAUUUUAUUGGAGUGAUAUGUGUUGCUUUUAUAGGCAUACCUAGUUGAAUUGGAAUCAAAACUUAACCACUUACGAGAUGAGUUCCUUAAGCAAGCGCUGGUAAUGACAUGAAACACAUUUCGAUGUGCUGAAAGCUUUCUACUCUUUUGUUUCUUGUGGUGAUAUGGUUUGUAAUUAUUGUUCUUGUUGAUCGAGUUAACAUGAAACUAGAGAGGAAACAAAAGCAAUCGAGUUUGAUUAUUGGGUGAUGGUAGGGUUUUAUGAUUGCUUUUAGAAUUUAAGUCAGAAUGAACGUAAGAUAAAAAUUGUGUGAUGGUAGAGUUUGAUUAUUGAAUGAAUUUUAAAUUUAUUGUUAAUUUCAUUUUGUAUUUUAUGGUAAUUAUGUAAUAUGGUAAAAUAGACAAUUCAAAUAUAAAAUUUAAUUUUGGGUAUAGAAAAAGAUUAGAAAUGAUCAAACA